RNAcentral lists this ribosomal RNA (254 nucleotides) under uncultured bacterium. Its description in RNAcentral is "partial 16S ribosomal RNA". It matches the Rfam family "Bacterial small subunit ribosomal RNA", at positions 524 to 776 of the family's 1533-position model. The record is from RNAcentral.
UACGUAGGGGGCUAGCGUUGUCCGGAAUCAUUGGGCGUAAAGAGCUCGUAGGCGGUUUGUCGCGUCGGCUGUGAAAGCCCGGAGCUCAACUCCGGGUCUGCAGUCGAUACGGGCAUCACUGGAGUUCGGCAGGGGAGACUGGAAUUCCUGGUGUAGCGGUGAAAUGCGCAGAUAUCAGGAGGAACACCGGUGGCGAAGGCGGGUCUCUGGGCCGAUACUGACGCUGAGGAGCGAAAGCAUGGGUAGCGAACAGG